RNAcentral lists this ribosomal RNA (253 nucleotides) under uncultured bacterium. RNAcentral's name for it is "partial 16S ribosomal RNA". It matches the Rfam family "Bacterial small subunit ribosomal RNA", at positions 524 to 776 of the family's 1533-position model. The record is from RNAcentral.
UACGUAGGGUGCGAGCGUUAAUCGGAAUUACUGGGCGUAAAGCGUGCGUAGGUGGUUUGUUAAGUCUGUUGUGAAAGCCCCGGGCUCAACCUGGGAAUGGCAAUGGAUACUGGCAAGCUAGAGUGCGGUAGAGGGUAGUGGAAUUCCCGGUGUAGCGGUGAAAUGCGUAGAGAUCGGGAGGAACACCAGUGGCGAAGGCGGCUACCUGGACCAGCACUGACACUGAGGCACGAAAGCGUGGGGAGCAAACAGG